Molecule: ribosomal RNA, 429 nt
Filed under: uncultured archaeon
Lineage: Archaea
Description: bacterial SSU rRNA
Rfam family: Archaeal small subunit ribosomal RNA
Source: RNAcentral
UACCUGCAGCUCGAGUGGUAACCGCUAUUAUUGGGCCUAAAGCGUCCGUAGCCGGUUUGGUAAAUAUCUGGGUAAAUCGUGAGGCUUAACUUCACGAAUUUCGGAUAGACUGCCAGACUUGGGAUCGGGGGAGGUCAGAGGUACUCCAGGGGUAGCGGUGAAAUGUUGUAACCCUUGGAGGACCACCGGUAGCGAAGGCGUCUGACUAGAACGAGUCCGACGGUGAGGGACGAAGCCCUGGGGCGCAAACCGGAUUAGAUAUCCGGGUAGUCCAGGGUGUAAACGAUGUGGGCUUUGUAUUGGAGGUCCCACGUGGGUGUCCAGUGCAGAAGAGAAGUUGUUAAGCCCACCGCCUGGGAAGUACGGUCGCAAGGCUGAAACUUAAAGGAAUUGGCGGGGGAGCACAGCAACGGGAGGAGCGUGCGGUUU